CGAAGGUGCAAGCGUUACUCGGAAUUACUGGGCGUAAAGCGUGCGUAGGUGGUUGUUUAAGUCUGUCGUGAAAGCCCUGGGCUCAACCUGGGAAUUGCGAUGGAAACUGGGCGACUAGAGUGUGGCAGAGGAUAGUGGAAUUCCUGGUGUAGCAGUGAAAUGCGUAGAGAUCAGGAGGAACAUCCGUGGCGAAGGCGACUGUCUGGGCCAACACUGACACUGAGGCACGAAAGCGUGGGAGCAAACAGGAUU
Molecule: ribosomal RNA, 252 nt
Filed under: uncultured bacterium
Lineage: Bacteria
Description: partial 16S ribosomal RNA
Rfam family: Bacterial small subunit ribosomal RNA
Source: RNAcentral